GCUCGGUUAGCUCAGCUGGUUAGAGCGUCGUACUAAUAUCUCCCCGCCUAAGGAUAUAUAUAGUAUAUGCGAAGGUCAUGAGUUCAAUCCUCAUACUGAGCA
This 102-nucleotide transfer RNA is filed under the name Hypoxylon sp. EC38. RNAcentral's name for it is "tRNA-Ile". It matches the Rfam family "tRNA". From Rfam's summary of the family: Transfer RNA (tRNA) molecules are approximately 80 nucleotides in length. Their secondary structure includes four short double-helical elements and three loops (D, anti-codon, and T loops). Further hydrogen bonds mediate the characteristic L-shaped molecular structure. tRNAs have two regions of fundamental functional importance: the anti-codon, which is responsible for specific mRNA codon recognition, and the 3' end, to which the tRNAs corresponding amino acid is attached (by aminoacyl-tRNA synthetases). tRNAs cope with the degeneracy of the genetic code in two manners: having more than one tRNA (with a specific anti-codon) for a particular amino acid; and 'wobble' base-pairing, i.e. permitting non-standard base-pairing at the 3rd anti-codon position. The record is from RNAcentral. Lineage: Eukaryota; Fungi; Ascomycota; Sordariomycetes; Xylariales; Hypoxylaceae.